This 418-nucleotide long non-coding RNA is filed under the name Dasypus novemcinctus (nine-banded armadillo). RNAcentral describes it as "lncRNA (ENSDNOG00000050735.1)". The record is from RNAcentral. Lineage: Eukaryota; Metazoa; Chordata; Mammalia; Cingulata; Dasypodidae.
CCAUCCCUGUCUUUUUUCUGUCUCCCUCUUCCCCAACUUUUCCUCCAUCAUCACUUGUCUUCUCCAGCCUCUUGGUAGUUUCAGUCUUUCUCAUUUCCCUCUGUCCCCGUCUCGGUCCCCAUUUCUGUCGUCCGCCUCUGUGUGCCUUCCCGUUUUCCUCCCCUGCCUCUCCCCAGCUCCCUUCCAUCUUCGUCUCUCUCCCAGUCCCUGUCUCUGGGAUGCUGUCUCUCGUGCCACGGCCUCUGCUAGACCCGGGCUCCUCCUCAGACUUCCCGUGCCUCCCCCGUGAGCCUUGCUGGUUUCAGGACGGUGGUGGUGAGAGGUGAGAGCGCUCGCCCUUUCCCUCUAGCUCCAGGAGGUGGGGAGCGUGAAUGGCCAAAGUGGGGCAAGGCAGGAUGCCCUCCUACCCCGGGAGGUC